GAUGAACGCUGGCGGCGUGCCUAAUACAUGCAAGUCGAGCGAACAGACGAGGAGCUUGCUCCUCUGACGUUAGCGGCGGACGGGUGAGUAACACGUGGAUAACCUACCUAUAAGACUGGGAUAACUUCGGGAAACCGGAGCUAAUACCGGAUAAUAUAUUGAACCGCAUGGUUCAAUAGUGAAAGACGGUUUUGCUGUCACGUAUAGAUGGAUCCGCGCCGCAUUAGCUAGUUGGUAAGGUAACGGCUUACCAAGGCAACGAUGCGUAGCCGACCUGAGAGGGGGAUCGGCCACACUGGAACUGAGACACGGUCCAGACUCCUACGGGAGGCAGCAGUAGGGAAUCUUCCGCAAUGGGCGAAAGCCUGACGGAGCAACGCCGCGUGAGUGAUGAAGGUCUUCGGAUCGUAAAACUCUGUUAUUAGGGAAGAACAAAUGUGUAAGUAACUAUGCACGUCUUGACGGUACCUAAUCAGAAAGCCACGGCUAACUACGUG
RNAcentral lists this ribosomal RNA (497 nucleotides) under uncultured bacterium. Its description in RNAcentral is "partial 16S ribosomal RNA". It matches the Rfam family "Bacterial small subunit ribosomal RNA", at positions 28 to 507 of the family's 1533-position model. The record is from RNAcentral.